This is a long non-coding RNA of Daucus carota subsp. sativus, 321 nucleotides long. RefSeq lists it as uncharacterized. Lineage: Eukaryota; Viridiplantae; Streptophyta; Magnoliopsida; Apiales; Apiaceae. The record is from RefSeq and is a predicted model, not a curated record. The transcript is spliced from 3 exons.
GUGUAAUCAAGAAAUAGGAUUAUAUGAAAAAACACGACGGGAAGCUCGAUAAAACUUUUGUCUACAAGGAAUGUCACACAUAUAAAGACAAGGAAAAGAAAGGGAAGGGGAUUACGAAAGCAGCCAAGAAAAUUAUUGAUCGUUAUGUUGCUAUAUGUACGAAGAAAGGUAUUGACCCUAAAAGCACACAUCUUCAGUUUUGGAUCGAGGCAGUGGGAGGUAUUAAGAAGAACUCGAUUCAAGGACAUCCGCGGCUCCGUGCCUCUGAUAUUUGUGGGCCUGAGGGACGUGCACCACCACCCCGGAAAGGGGAAGAAAGAU